AGGACGAACGCUGGCGGCGUGCUUAACACAUGCAAGUGGAGCGACGAACCAGGGCUUGCCCUGGGGCAGAGCCGCGAACGGGUGAGUAACACGUGGGUUACCUGCCUCGAUGACCGGGACAACCCGAGGAAACUCGGGCUAAUACCGGAUGUGCCCGCAAGGGGAAAGGAAGCUUCGGCCUCCGCAUCGAGAUGGGCCCGCGGCCCAUUAGCUUGUUGGUGAGGUAACGGCUCACCAAGGCUUCGAUGGGUAGCUGGUCUGAGAGGACGAUCAGCCACACUGGGACUGAGACACGGCCCAGACUCCUACGGGAGGCAGCAGUGGGGAAUCUUGCGCAAUGCGCGAAAGCGUGACGCAGCAACGCCGCGUGGGGGAAGAAGGCUUUCGGGUUGUAAACCCCUUUCAGUUGGGACGAAGCUUCGCCGGUGAAUAGCCGGCCGGAGUGACGGUACCUUCACAAGAGCACCGGCUAACUACGCGCCAGCAGCCGCGGU
Molecule: ribosomal RNA, 494 nt
Filed under: uncultured bacterium
Lineage: Bacteria
Description: SSU rRNA
Rfam family: Bacterial small subunit ribosomal RNA
Source: RNAcentral